CACGUGGCCAGACCUGAGAACACCGAAGGAAGGUGAUUCAAGCAAGGCCUUGUAUAUGGAUAGAGCAAGGAUCUUCCAGAGUCUUUUAAACCUUGUGAAAGAUUUUGAUCAUUAUCUCAAUGAGAGGUCAAUGAAGGACACUAAACCAGGAGUUUCCCUGCACAAGCUCUCUGCUCUUGUCUGCUGCCAUACAAGAUGUGCCUUUCACCUUCUGCCCUGAUUGUGAGGCCUCCCAAGCCAUGUGGAACUACGUCUCUCUGUCACCCAGGCUGGAGUGCAGGGGCUGGAGUGCAGUUGCACAAUCUCGGCUCACUGCAACCUCCCCUUCCCGGGUUCAAGUGAAGGAAUGCUGAUUCUGUAUUCAUACUUCUGACUGCAAGGAGUUCCAACAAUAGGAGUGAUUGCUUACUUAUUGACUCUGGACCACAGGGUUAAUGAGAAGUACGGAGUUACUCUAAGGGAUCAACUGGUUCUGACUGGCAGCUUGCCAUUAGAAGGGGGUGAACUACCUAUUAUGAUCCUGUAUUAAAUUAAUUGGAAAGAGUUUAUGUUUUCAGUAUUCCAGCAUGCUCGAAGUUUAAGAUGCAGACAAGGAAAACAAGGCAGCCUAGAGAACAUUUACCUUUGCAUAUUCUCAUACAAUUUUUAUCCAUUUUGCUUCUCUUAAUAAACUUUACACAAUCACUGCCUG
This 691-nucleotide long non-coding RNA is filed under the name Homo sapiens (human). RNAcentral's name for it is "HSALNT0368701". The record is from RNAcentral. Lineage: Eukaryota; Metazoa; Chordata; Mammalia; Primates; Hominidae.